This 253-nucleotide ribosomal RNA is filed under the name uncultured bacterium. RNAcentral describes it as "partial 16S ribosomal RNA". It matches the Rfam family "Bacterial small subunit ribosomal RNA", at positions 524 to 776 of the family's 1533-position model. The record is from RNAcentral.
UACGAAGGGAGCUAGCGUUGUUCGGAAUUACUGGGCGUAAAGCGCAUGCAGGCGGGUCGUUAAGUCGGGGGUGAAAUCCCAGGGCUCAACCCUGGAACUGCCUUCGAUACUGGCGAUCUUGAGUCCGGGAGAGGUGAGUGGAACUCCGAGUGUAGAGGUGAAAUUCGUAGAUAUUCGGAAGAACACCAGUGGCGAAGGCGGCUCACUGGCCCGGUACUGACGCUGAGAUGCGAAAGCGUGGGGAGCAAACAGG